UACGGAGGAUGCAAGCGUUAUCCGGAAUGAUUGGGCGUAAAGCGUCCGCAGGUGGCGAUGUAAGUCUGCUGUUAAAGAGUCUAGCUCAACUAGAUAAGAGCAGUGGAAACUACAUAGCUAGAGUACGUUCGGGGCAGAGGGAAUUCCUGGUGUAGCGGUGAAAUGCGUAGAGAUCAGGAAGAACACCAGUGGCGAAGGCGCUCUGCUAGGCCGUAACUGACGCUGAGGAGCGAAAGCGUGGGGAGCGAACAGG
RNAcentral lists this ribosomal RNA (253 nucleotides) under uncultured bacterium. Its description in RNAcentral is "partial 16S ribosomal RNA". It matches the Rfam family "Bacterial small subunit ribosomal RNA", at positions 524 to 776 of the family's 1533-position model. The record is from RNAcentral.